RNAcentral lists this non-coding RNA (29 nucleotides) under Rattus norvegicus (Norway rat). The record is from RNAcentral. Lineage: Eukaryota; Metazoa; Chordata; Mammalia; Rodentia; Muridae.
UGGAGGUUAUGGGUACCACUUGACUCUGA